RNAcentral lists this long non-coding RNA (1145 nucleotides) under Cricetulus griseus (Chinese hamster). Its description in RNAcentral is "lncRNA (ENSCGRG00015033907.1)". Lineage: Eukaryota; Metazoa; Chordata; Mammalia; Rodentia; Cricetidae. The record is from RNAcentral.
CAAGGAGACUCAUAUCUAAGCAAGGAAACAGGAAGUAUGCCUUUUUCCCCCCCUGCUCCUUCUCCAGCAGCAAGAUGUGAUCCCAGCAAGGAGGGACGCCAAUAAGGUGUCUGAUAAGAUAAGUCUUAUAAAAUAUAUAGGCUUAUGAUAGUUAAGACUGAGUUAGCAGAUGAGAAGUCCUAGUCAUUGGCCAAGCAGCUUUGAACCUAAUACAAGUUUCUGUGUAUUCAUUUGGGCCUAACUCGGGCAGGAGGCUGGCGUAAAGCUCACACGUGGCGGUGGGGCUCAGGCGGCAUUUGGCAGAAAGAUUUAUUGUAACAGGCAUUCUACGGUAAUGAUCACCUUCAACCUUCCUGUACUGACAAAUGAAGUAGACUCCCAAGCAAAUGUUUAAGCCAUGCUGAGAAGAGAUAGACUGGCACACAGGCCUUAUAGCUCUGAUUUGCUGUGAGUUUAAGAAGCUUCAUCCUAAGCAAGGAAGUAAUAGAAGAACUCUUUAUUCCUUCUUCCCACUUUGUGUAUCAUAUUGAACAAGGGUUUCCCAGUACAUAAGAUGGUUGCAAACAUAAUAUUUCUAUAAACACCCAAAGAGUCUUAGAGAGCCCUCAUCCAGUGACUGAUGGAAGCAGAGGCAGACAUCCACAGAUAUACACUGAACUCUGGAACUUAGUUGCAGAGCGGGAGGAAUGAAGAUCGAAGGGGUUGGUACCAGGCUGGUGAAACCCACAGUACCAGCUAGCCUGAACAAGGGGGAACACAUGGACUCCAGAUGCUGUCUGGGAGAGCAGCACAGGACUGAUCCAGACCCCUGAACAUGGAUGCCAAUGAGGAGGCAUCUGCACCCUAAGGGGCCCCUGGUAGUGGUUUAGGAUUUUUCCCUGGUGUAAGAAGGGACUUUGAGAGCCCAUCCCAUGUGAAUGGAUGCACUCUUGCCCUGGGCACAUAGGGAAGGGCCAAGGCCCAGCCUAGGAUGAUGUGGUGGACUUUGCUGAGCCCCCCAUUGAGGGCCCUACCCUGCAUGGGGAGUGGAGAGUGGAUGGGUUUGGGGGGUAGGUCGGGGGGUGGGGGAGGAGGGUGCGGGUGAGGGGAGGGAGAGGGAGAACGGAUUGACAUGUGAAACAAACUUGUUCCUAAUUUGAACUAAU